RNAcentral lists this ribosomal RNA (818 nucleotides) under uncultured bacterium. Its description in RNAcentral is "bacterial SSU rRNA". It matches the Rfam family "Bacterial small subunit ribosomal RNA", at positions 21 to 880 of the family's 1533-position model. The record is from RNAcentral.
GGCUCAGGAUGAACGCUGGCGGUAUGCUUAACACAUGCAAGUCGAACGGGAAUCUUAGGAUUCUAGUGGCGGACGGGUGAGUAACGCGUGAGAAUUUGGCUUCAGGUCGGGGACAACAGUUGGAAACGACUGCUAAUACCGGAUAUGCCGGAAGGUGAAAGAUUUAUUGCCUGAAGAUAAGCUCGCGUCUGAUUAGCUAGUUGGUGGGGUAAGAGCCUACCAAGGCGACGAUCAGUAGCUGGUCUGAGAGGAUGAUCAGCCACACUGGGACUGAGACACGGCCCAGACUCCUACGGGAGGCAGCAGUGGGGAAUUUUCCGCAAUGGGCGAAAGCCUGACGGAGCAAUACCGCGUGAGGGAGGAAGGCUCUUGGGUCGUAAACCUCUUUUCUCAGGGAAGAAAAAAAUGACGGUACCUGAGGAAUAAGCAUCGGCUAACUCCGUGCCAGCAGCCGCGGUAAUACGGAGGAUGCAAGCGUUAUCCGGAAUGAUUGGGCGUAAAGGGUCUGUAGGUGGUGCUGUAAGUCUGCUGUUAAAGAGUCACGCUCAACGUGAUAAAAGCGGUGGAAACUACAGGACUAGAGUGCGGUCGGGGCAGAAGGAAUUCCUGGUGUAGCGGUGAAAUGCGUAGAUAUCAGGAAGAACACCGGUGGCGAAAGCGUUCUGCUAGUCCGCAACUGACACUGAGGGACGAAAGCUAGGGGAGCGAAUGGGAUUAGAUACCCCAGUAGUCCUAGCCGUAAACGAUGGAUACUAGGCGUGGCUUGUAUCGACCCGAGCCGUGCCGGAGCUAACGCGUUAAGUAUCCCGCCUGGGGAG